GACACGUGGAGCAUUCUGAUUUUGAAAAGGUGAAGUCCACCUCAUCAGAAGAAUCCGACGGUCAAAAAUUGAUUCCCGAUUGAUAUGGUGGCUAGAACCGAAUCCUUCUUAUAAAAACUUCAUGGAUUUUGUAUUAGGUUUACCAUCAGAAUUGGAAGAGGAAUUCAGAGAGAAAAAAUGGCAGGUGAAUCAACUUUGUUCAAGUUCUUGAGCCCGGGACGCCGUUUCCAAUCCACGGACAUCCAAGCCGCCGCCGGCUGGGGUGUCGCCGCUGCCACAACUGCUCUAUGGGUCGUUCAGCCAUUCGACUGGAUCAAGAAAACGUUCUUCGAUAAGCCACAAGAGGCAUAAAUUGUUAUUCGACUCGACCCAGCUUUUAAUUUUGUUAAUAAGUAUCAGUUGAUUGCCGCAAAUGGGCAAACUGCAGAGUUCGUUGGAAUAACAUGUUUUGUAAUAGACUUUGUUUUUCAUUAAACUGAGUUGGAAUUUUAUCGUUUUCAAGUGUGGUUGAUAUUUUUUCUUA
Cucurbita maxima (winter squash) is the source of this 523-nucleotide long non-coding RNA. RefSeq lists it as uncharacterized. Lineage: Eukaryota; Viridiplantae; Streptophyta; Magnoliopsida; Cucurbitales; Cucurbitaceae. The transcript is spliced from 2 exons. The record is from RefSeq and is a predicted model, not a curated record.